UCAUGGCCCUUAUGGGUAGGGCUUCACACGUCAUACAAUGGUCGGUACAGAGGGUUGCCAAGCCGCGAGGUGGAGCCAAUCCCAGAAAGCCGAUCGUAGUCCGGAUUGUUCUCUGCAACUCGAGAGCAUGAAGUCGGAAUCGCUAGUAAUCGCGGAUCAGCAUGUCGCGGUGAAUACGUUCCCGGGUCUU
This 190-nucleotide ribosomal RNA is filed under the name uncultured Thiobacillus sp. RNAcentral describes it as "partial 16S ribosomal RNA". It matches the Rfam family "Bacterial small subunit ribosomal RNA", at positions 1193 to 1382 of the family's 1533-position model. The record is from RNAcentral. Lineage: Bacteria; Pseudomonadati; Pseudomonadota; Betaproteobacteria; Nitrosomonadales; Thiobacillaceae.